CCGCCUCGGCCCCGAUGAUGUAAUUAUUUCCCAGCGGCACCUGGGAGCCGCGGUCGCCAUCCUGAGGCAUCGCUCACAGCCAACGAAGCAGCCAGGCGAGAAUGAAAGGAUUCUGGAUUUCUGUAAACAAGGCAUGACUGACGUGGCGGCAGACGAUUUGUGAGGCUCAGCUGAAGAUCGGCGUCACGCGCGCAUCUCUGAACUAAAAGAGAUCAGAGUAAAAGCAAAACACCACUCUGGAUUAAAUUGGUGGUCCUGUGGACCAACAUGCA
Non-coding RNA from Poecilia reticulata (guppy), 272 nucleotides. NCBI's taxonomy places the organism in Eukaryota, Metazoa, Chordata, Actinopteri, Cyprinodontiformes, Poeciliidae. The record is from RefSeq and is a predicted model, not a curated record.